This 253-nucleotide ribosomal RNA is filed under the name uncultured bacterium. RNAcentral's name for it is "partial 16S ribosomal RNA". It matches the Rfam family "Bacterial small subunit ribosomal RNA", at positions 524 to 776 of the family's 1533-position model. The record is from RNAcentral.
UACGUAGGGGGCAAGCGUUGUCCGGAUUUAUUGGGCGUAAAGCGCACGUAGGCGGAUCUUUAAGUCAGGGGUGAAAUCCUGGAGCUCAACUCCAGAACUGCCUUUGAUACUGGGGAUCUCGAGUCCGGAAGAGGUGAGUGGAACUCCGAGUGUAGAGGUGAAAUUCGUAGAUAUUCGGAAGAACACCAGUGGCGAAGGCGGCUCACUGGUCCGGUACUGACGCUGAGGUGCGAAAGCGUGGGGAGCAAACAGG